UACGGGGGGGGCAAGCGUUGUUCGGAAUUACUGGGCGUAAAGGGUGCGUAGGCCGCACGGUAAGUCAGAGGUGAAAUCCCGGAGCUCAACUUCGGAAUUGCCUCCGAUACUGCCGUGCUUGAGGACUGGAGAGGAGAUUGGAAUUCACAGUGGAGCAGUGAAAUGCGUAGAUAUUGUGAGGAACACUAGUGGCGAAGGCGAAUCUCUGGACAGUUCCUGACGCUGAGGCACGAAGGCCAGGGGAGCAAACGGG
RNAcentral lists this ribosomal RNA (253 nucleotides) under uncultured bacterium. RNAcentral describes it as "partial 16S ribosomal RNA". It matches the Rfam family "Bacterial small subunit ribosomal RNA", at positions 524 to 776 of the family's 1533-position model. The record is from RNAcentral.